CCUACGGGAGGCAGCAGUGAGGAAUAUUGGUCAAUGGACGAGAGUCUGAACCAGCCAAGUAGCGUGAAGGAUGACUGCCCUAUGGGUUGUAAACUUCUUUUAUAUGGGAAUAAAAUGUUCCACGUGUGGGAUUUUGUAUGUACCAUAUGAAUUAGGAUCGGCUAACUCCGUGCAAGCAGCAGCGGUAAUACGGAGGAUCCGCGCGUUAUCCGGAUUUAUUGGGUUUAACGGGAGCGUAGGUGGAUUGUUAAGUCAGUUGUGAAAUGUUGCGGCUCAACCGUAAAAUUGCAGUUGAAACUGGCAGUCUAGAGUACAGUAGAGGUGGGCGGAAUUCGUGGUGUAGCGGUGAAAUGCUUAGAUAUCACGAAGAACGCCGAUGGCGAAGGCAGCUCACUGGACUGCAACUGACACUGAGGCUCGAAAGUGUGGGUAUCAAACAGGAUUAGAUACCCUGGUAGUC
This 460-nucleotide ribosomal RNA is filed under the name uncultured bacterium. Its description in RNAcentral is "partial 16S ribosomal RNA". It matches the Rfam family "Bacterial small subunit ribosomal RNA", at positions 338 to 795 of the family's 1533-position model. The record is from RNAcentral.